UACGGAGGGUGCAAGCGUUAUCCGGAUUUAUUGGGUUUAAAGGGUCCGUCGGCGGGCUAAUAAGUCAGUGGUGAAAUCUCAUAGCUUAACUAUGAAACUGCCAUUGAUACUGUUAGUCUUGAGUAUAGUUGAGGUAGCUGGAAUGAGUAGUGUAGCGGUGAAAUGCAUAGAUAUUACGUAGAACACCAAUUGCGAAGGCAGGUUACCAAGUUAUAACUGACGCUGAGGGACGAAAGCGUGGGGAGCGAACAGG
This 253-nucleotide ribosomal RNA is filed under the name uncultured bacterium. RNAcentral's name for it is "partial 16S ribosomal RNA". It matches the Rfam family "Bacterial small subunit ribosomal RNA", at positions 524 to 776 of the family's 1533-position model. The record is from RNAcentral.